This 63-nucleotide transfer RNA is filed under the name Cherax crassimanus. RNAcentral's name for it is "tRNA-Cys". The record is from RNAcentral. Lineage: Eukaryota; Metazoa; Arthropoda; Malacostraca; Decapoda; Parastacidae.
GGCUUUAUAGUGGAAAAAAGACGUCAAAUUGCAAAUUUGAAGAUGUAUGGAUUACUAAAGCUU